Non-coding RNA from Callorhinus ursinus (northern fur seal), 338 nucleotides. NCBI's taxonomy places the organism in Eukaryota, Metazoa, Chordata, Mammalia, Carnivora, Otariidae. The record is from RefSeq and is a predicted model, not a curated record.
CCUCUCUAGAAAGCCAGUUGGUAAAUAUUUCCUGAAACACCACAGUGAGAGCCCUGUGGGACUACAUCAGAGAGAAUACCAAGUGUUCGUUGGGGAUCAUCUUUGGAGACCGGCUACCAAAAUCCACCUUGUGCAAAAUCUGAUGAUAGAUCAAAAGAGCAGACAAUUUUUGGCAUGUAGCUGACUGCUUCCUGAAACUCCUUUGGCUGGAGCUCUUCCGUGUUCAGGCUUUGAAUCUUACUGAAUCUGGUAGGUGCUCCUCCUUCAUCUGUAAGAACACACUCCACUGCUUGUGAAUUGCCUGAGUUUUCAGUGGCAGCUUAGAUGUUGGCUGAGCU